Molecule: ribosomal RNA, 561 nt
Filed under: uncultured bacterium
Lineage: Bacteria
Description: bacterial SSU rRNA
Rfam family: Bacterial small subunit ribosomal RNA
Source: RNAcentral
CCUACGGGAGGCAGCAGUGGGGAAUAUUGGACAAUGGGCGCAAGCCUGAUCCAGCAAUUCCGCGUGGGUGAAGAAGGUCUUCGGAUUGUAAAGCCCUUUCGUUGGGGACGAUGAUGACGGUACCCAAAGAAGAAGCCCCGGCUAACUUCGUGCCAGCAGCCGCGGUAAUACGAAGGGGGCUAGCGUUGCUCGGAAUGACUGGGCGUAAAGGGCGCGUAGGCGGCACAACUCGUCAGGCGUGAAAUUCCUGGGCUUAACCUGGGGGCUGCGUUUGAUACGGUUGGGCUAGAGGAUGGAAGAGGCUCGUGGAAUUCCCAGUGUAGAGGUGAAAUUCGUAGAUAUUGGGAAGAACACCGGUGGCGAAGGCGGCGAGCUGGUCCAUUACUGACGCUGAGGCGCGAAAGCGUGGGGAGCAAACAGGAUUAGAUACCCUGGUAGUCCACGCUGUAAACGAUGUGCGCUGGAUGUUGGGUAACUUAGUUACUCAGUGUCGUAGCUAACGCGAUAAGCGCACCGCCUGGGGAGUACGGCCGCAAGGUUGAAACUUAAAGGAAUUGACGG